AUACGUAGGGUGCGAGCGUUAAUCGGAAUUACUGGGCGUAAAGCGUGCGCAGGCGGUUUUGUAAGACAGUGGUGAAAUCCCCGGGCUCAACCUGGGAACUACCAUUGUGACUGCAAGGCUGGAGUGCGGCAGAGGGGGAUGGAAUUCCGCGUGUAGCAGUGAAAUGCGUAGAUAUGCGGAGGAACACCGAUGGCGAAGGCAAUCCCCUGGGCCUGCACUGACGCUCAUGCACGAAAGCGUGGGGAGCAAACAGGAUUAGAUACCCUGGUAGUCCACGCCCUAAACGAUGUCAACUGGUUGUUGGGGAUUUAUUUUCUCAGUAACGAAGCUAACGCGUGAAGUUGACCGCCUGGGGAGUACGGCCGCAAGGUUAAAACUCAAAGGAAUUGACGGGG
This 395-nucleotide ribosomal RNA is filed under the name uncultured bacterium. Its description in RNAcentral is "partial 16S ribosomal RNA". It matches the Rfam family "Bacterial small subunit ribosomal RNA", at positions 523 to 918 of the family's 1533-position model. The record is from RNAcentral.